Molecule: ribosomal RNA, 251 nt
Filed under: uncultured bacterium
Lineage: Bacteria
Description: partial 16S ribosomal RNA
Rfam family: Bacterial small subunit ribosomal RNA
Source: RNAcentral
UACGUAGGUCCCGAGCGUUGUCCGGAUUUAUUGGGCGUAAAGCGAGCGCAGGUGGUUUAUUAAGUCUGGUGUAAGGGCAGUGGCUCAACCAUUGUAUGCAUUGGAAACUGGUAGACUUGAGUGCAGGAGAGGAGAGUGGAAUUCCAUGUGUAGCGGUGAAAUGCGUAGAUAUAUGGAGGAACACCAGUGGCGAAAGCGGCUCUCUGGCCUGUAACUGACACUGAGGCUCGAAAGCGUGGGGAGCAAACAGG